GAUGAACGCUGACAGAAUGCUUAACACAUGCAAGUCUUUGGCGAAUCUGUGCUUGCACAGGCUAGCCAAGGCGGACGGGUGAGUAACGCGUAAAGAACUUGCCCUGCAGACAGGGAUAACAGACGGAAACGACUGAUAACACCUGAUACAGUUGCCGGCACGCAUGUGCCUGGCAAUGAAAAGAGAUGCUGCAGGAGAGCUUUGCGUCCUAUUAGCUUGUUGGUGAGGUGACGGCUCACCAAGGCGAUGAUAGGUAGCCGGCCUGAGAGGGUGAACGGCCACAAGGGGACUGAGAUACGGCCCUUACUCCUACGGGAGGCAGCAGUGGGGAAUAUUGGACAAUGGGGGCAACCCUGAUCCAGCAAUUCUGUGUGCACGAAGAAGGUUUUCGGAUUGUAAAGCGCUUUCAGCAGGGAAGAAGAAAGUGACGGUACCUGCAGAAGAAGCGACGGCUAAAUACGUG
This 463-nucleotide ribosomal RNA is filed under the name uncultured bacterium. RNAcentral's name for it is "partial 16S ribosomal RNA". It matches the Rfam family "Bacterial small subunit ribosomal RNA", at positions 28 to 507 of the family's 1533-position model. The record is from RNAcentral.